This 1038-nucleotide ribosomal RNA is filed under the name Bacillus licheniformis. RNAcentral's name for it is "bacterial SSU rRNA". It matches the Rfam family "Bacterial small subunit ribosomal RNA", at positions 33 to 1081 of the family's 1533-position model. Lineage: Bacteria; Bacillati; Bacillota; Bacilli; Caryophanales; Bacillaceae. The record is from RNAcentral.
GUGCAUGCGGGAGCUAUACAUGCAAGUCGAGCGGACCGACGGGAGCUUGCUCCCUUAGGUCAGCGGCGGACGGGUGAGUAACACGUGGGUAACCUGCCUGUAAGACUGGGAUAACUCCGGGAAACCGGGGCUAAUACCGGAUGCUUGAUUGAACCGCAUGGUUCAAUUAUAAAAGGUGGCUUUUAGCUACCACUUACAGAUGGACCCGCGGCGCAUUAGCUAGUUGGUGAGGUAACGGCUCACCAAGGCGACGAUGCGUAGCCGACCUGAGAGGGUGAUCGGCCACACUGGGACUGAAACACGGCCCAGACUCCUACGGGAGGCAGCAGUAGGGAAUCUUCCGCAAUGGACGAAAGUCUGACGGAACAACGCCGCGUGAGUGAUGAAGGUUUUCGGAUCGUAAAACUCUGUUGUUAGGGAAGAACAAGUACCGUUCGAAUAGGGCGGUACCUUGACGGUACCUAACCAGAAAGCCACGGCUAACUACGUGCCAGCAGCCGCGGUAAUACGUAGGUGGCAAGCGUUGUCCGGAAUUAUUGGGCGUAAAGCGCGCGCAGGCGGUUUCUUAAGUCUGAUGUGAAAGCCCCCGGCUCAACCGGGGAGGGUCAUUGGAAACUGGGGAACUUGAGUGCAGAAGAGGAGAGUGGAAUUCCACGUGUAGCGGUGAAAUGCGUAGAGAUGUGGAGGAACACCAGUGGCGAAAGCGACUCUCUGGUCUGUAACUGACGCUGAGCGCGAAAGCGUGGGGAGCGAACAGAUUAGAUACCCUGGUAGUCCACGCCGUAACGAUGAGUGCUAAGUGUUAGAGGGUUUCCGCCCUUUACUGCUGCAACAACGCAUUAUGCACUCCGCCUGGGGAGUACGGUCGCAGGACUGAAACUCAAAGGAAUGACAGGGGCCCGCACAGCUGUGGAGCAUGUGGUUUCAGUACUAGCACGCGAGACUUACACGGCUGACAGCUCUGACUACCUAGAGAUAGCGUCCCUAUGGCAGAUGACCGUGUGCAUGGUGUCGCACCUCGUUCAGAAAUGUUAGCUA